Non-coding RNA from Xylariaceae sp. FL1272, 120 nucleotides. The record is from the annotation of a GenBank genome assembly. NCBI's taxonomy places the organism in Eukaryota, Fungi, Ascomycota, Sordariomycetes, Xylariales, Xylariaceae.
UUCUCCGUGGCGCAAUUGGCUAGCGCGUUCGACUGUUAUUGGCUUCGCAGCAAACAACCAAGCUGGCGUUUCGACUAGCAGGCAAUCGAGAGGUUGACAGUUCAAGCCUGUCCGGGGGAG